ACUCAAAUGAAUUGACGGGGGCCCGCACAAGCGGUGGAGCAUGUGGUUUAAUUCGAUGCAACGCGAAGAACCUUACCUACUCUUGACAUCCUACGAACUCAGCUGAGAGGCUGAGGUGCCGAAAGGAACGUGGAGACAGGUGCUGCAUGGCUGUCGUCAGCUCGUGUCGUGAGAUGUUGGGUUAAGUCCCGUAACGAGCGCAACCCUUGUUCUUAGUAGCCAUCAUUAAGUUGGGCACUCUAAGAAGACUGCCGGUGAUAAACCGGAGGAAGGUGGGGACGAGGUCAAGUCAUCAUGGCCUUUAUGAGUAGGGCCACACACGUGCUACAAUGGUUGGUACAGAGGGAAGCGAACUUGCGAGGGGGAGCGAAUCUCAAAAAGCCGAUCGUAGUCCGGAUUGGAGUCUGCAACUCGACUCCAUGAAGUUGGAAUCGCUAGUAAUCGCGGAUCAGAACGCCGCGGUGAAUACGUUCCCGGGCCUUGCACACACCGCCCGU
This 497-nucleotide ribosomal RNA is filed under the name uncultured bacterium. RNAcentral's name for it is "partial 16S ribosomal RNA". It matches the Rfam family "Bacterial small subunit ribosomal RNA", at positions 899 to 1397 of the family's 1533-position model. The record is from RNAcentral.